This is a long non-coding RNA of Parus major (Great Tit), 1570 nucleotides long. RefSeq lists it as uncharacterized. The record is from RefSeq and is a predicted model, not a curated record. The transcript has 2 exons. Lineage: Eukaryota; Metazoa; Chordata; Aves; Passeriformes; Paridae.
UCCAGGAGCUCUGGGAUUUGGUCCAGGAUCUGCUCCAGGAUCUGCUCCAGGAUCUCCGGGAUCUGCUCCAGGCAGGGCCCAACACGGCCGUGCCCGCCGGGCCCGCUGUGCGCCCCCGCUCCGCGCUCCGAGGGGUGAUCCUGUCUUUCUAUGUACUUCCAGACUGCAAGAUUUUCAACUCUGUACAGUUUGUGAGGAGUUUUGCAUAUUUCCAUCCAUGUUGUUCCGAGGUCACUGUUUGUUUUUUGGAUGCACAGUUCCAUGGAGGCCCUGUGCUCCCGGCACUUCUCAAAGCGACCGACAGCCGAGGAUCUGAGGCCCGUGUACAUGACUUGUAUUAUUACUCUUGUAUCACUGCAAUCCAUAUACCUUAUUUUUUUUAACUAAACGAACAAAAAAAAAAAAAAAAUAAUUUAAAGACCAAAAACUGUGCUGGCGAAGUUUGUCCCCCCCCUUCACACCUCCGAUGGGCUGCAGAGGAAGCAGGAAGGAUUUUUGCUGAGUUUUAGUAGAGGUCUUGAUCUUUGGAAUGCAUGCCAGUAAUGUAUUUUAUGGUACAUGUUAAUAAUUUAUGUUUGAUAUUUGUAUUUGUGUUCUAUUUUGUUCUUUUCUUUAAGGUAUAUGACUAUUUUGCAAUAAUUUCGAUGAUUCUUAUGAUAUUUGGAGGAAAGAAUAUGGCUUUUACAUGUCUUGAGGUUUUUCUUUGUUGAUGCCCCACCAUGAUUGACCAGUGUGAUAAGGACUUACAGAAGCAUGUAUGUUUUAUACUGUUUGUAAUAAGUAAUUUCGUUAAUCUUGCUGCUUAUGUGCCAAUUUAGUGAAACCAAUCUUUGCCGCAACCUCCUCCCUCCCUUUCCAUUCUCUCGAUCCUGUGAUAUUAUCCAAGAAUGUAUCAAUAAAGGAUUUUGGUUAACUUUUUUUUAUUUACUCCAAUAAAUAUAUUUUUUCAGUUGUUCCCUCCCCCUUCCCCCUCGUGAUUUAACAUUUAUUUCAUGCCAAUGUCAGGCACACGGAGCAGGUCUGGGGUCAGUCCUGGGGAGCUGGCAGCUGGCUGCAGGGGAAAGUGCUCGGAAGGGACUUUGAAAGGUCUGGAAGAACCCCAAAGCCAAGCUGGAGUCCCACGGUGCCAACCUCGUGUCUGAGAUCUCCAGAGCUGCUGUCAACUGCUGAGACUCCUGAAGGACGUGAAGUGCAGCAGCACACCAGAAGCACAGCACCUGCAGCACCUUCAGCAUCCAACCACGGCUGGGCUGCUCUGACGGAUCCUGGGGAAGGUAUUUAUCCUCCCAUCUUCUGCAGACAACUUGAUCAAUUAUCCUGAUGAAGUUAAUCAGCAUCAGGAGAAGCUGUGACAGGAGAUGAGGAGCUGGCUGUCCCUGGCAUGGCCAGGGAUGCUCCUGCACCCCAGAACAAACCACAGCUGGCUCCACACAGAGCUCUGCCCAGGUAAAAGAGGCUCCAUCAGCACCAAACCCAUCAGCAGCCCAGCUGAUACCGAGGGCAGAGGGGCUGCAGUGUUCUCCCAUCACCACAGGGACAGAGCCAAAUAAACACCUUGCCAUCAAACAAA